UGGUGGCUGUUCUUACUAGUCAGAGUUGCAUUUGUGGCUUUCUAGACAUUGAAGUAAAUAAAAACAAGAAAUCUUAGUAGGGCUUCAUAGUGAAUAUCAGAAAAGGUAGUUUGGUAUUAUAAAUGGAUAAUGCUACAAAAUAUAUUUCUGGAUCAAUGUGUGUUGGAGACAUUAAAUUUAUCUACAUUCCAAAGGUUAACAAUGGCACUAAACCAAGCCAAGGGGAGAGUUCUAGUUUUUUUGUUUUACUUUGUUUUAAAAAUAAAUUCAGAAAAGAGAAAAUAUUUCUUACAAGCUAAUGAUCAGCAAUACCUAGUGGAACGAGUAAUGUUGAACAAUGCUAUGGAAAGACAGUAUCAAAAGCAGACGGACUUGCAGUUUCAUUCUAAUAACCUCAGUCUCCACAUUAAAUAACUGUGGGAAGGAGCAAGUACCUUAUAGGACAGAUACUGUUGGUGCUGUACCCAUAGUUACUCUAGCUCAGGAAAAAGGAAGUAAAUAAAUAUGGUGAAGUAAUUUCAAAUGGUUCCAAAGCCAUUUCCUUACCUUACUCCUAAACUAUCUGUAGAUAAUUGGACUUUCAAAGUCAGUUAUUGUGUUAAACAAGGGGCAGUGAUGAAAAACUGUAACCAGACAUUUUCAGAUGGAUGAAACAAAGUAGGCAUUUUCAAAUAUGAACUGGAAAGGGACCUCUCCACAUAAUGCACUUAAAGAGGUUUAUAAAGUCCCAGAAUGUAAGCAAAGACACAUAAUGAUGAGGGACAACCUCUUAAAAAUUCUAACAAACUGUUCAUUGUUUCCCACAGUUCCUCUGUGUAGGCUGAUGGUCCUACGGAGGUAAAUAGUUAGAUUAAUCUGAUCUUUGGUAUCACUGUAUCCCAACAGGGACCAGGAAGAUCAUCAUCAUCUAUGUGGCAGACUAAAAGGCUGUUAAAUAUUUGUAUAUAGAGAGAAUUAAGUAUCAUACUAAAAUACAAACUUUGUGAUUAAUGAGUGACCCUCUGAUAGCUACUUUACAGGAGCAUCCUAAACAUUUCUCAGCAUUCAUCUCAUCACACUUUCGUUCAUUCUAUGUAACUGCAGCCAAUCUUAUAUUCCACAGUCCUUUACAACAACUCUUUGUUUUGAGCUUUAUUAUAGUGGAGGUAGACUUUUAUGAGUAUUUUGUCAAGAGCGAGCCAGGGAACUUCCAUAUUAUCCUUUCAAGAGAAUUGGCUUCCAAAGUGACUUUUCAAGAGAACCAGAAGGGUCAUCCCAUGCCUUAGUAGUAGAGCUAAACUAUCCCAGAAUAGAG
RNAcentral lists this long non-coding RNA (1294 nucleotides) under Homo sapiens (human). RNAcentral's name for it is "non-protein coding lnc-FAM105A-2:1". The record is from RNAcentral. Lineage: Eukaryota; Metazoa; Chordata; Mammalia; Primates; Hominidae.